Pelodiscus sinensis (Chinese soft-shelled turtle) is the source of this 1331-nucleotide non-coding RNA. The record is from RefSeq and is a predicted model, not a curated record. Lineage: Eukaryota; Metazoa; Chordata; Testudines; Trionychidae.
AUCCCACUCCUGGCAGGAGGUCUUCUGGACAGAGCAGGACAAGCAGCAAGUGGGGGGCACAGAGCACAUGUUUAUGCAGCUUCCACUUUUACAGGGGGCCCUGGCCAAGAAUCUCUCCCUCUCCCCUCCCCAAAGGCCAGCUGGGUGGAGGGUGAGAAGAGACCCCUUUGCUCCUUCCACCCCCUCAUUCCUCAGCUAUCUACAGUCAGGGCCUAUCCAGCUGUCCCAUCCUGCCUCUGCCACUGCCAUGCCCCAGAGAAUAGUCAUCCAGCCAUGCCACAUCCCUAGAAACCAGGACCAGAGUAUGACCCUCAUUGCUGUAAAGGCCUUUACCAUGAGAGCUAAGCCCCUAGAACAUGUGACCAUAGCGGACUUCAUUUAGGCACAGGUAUGAGGGGAACCCCCUGGAACUACUCCAACGGAGAAGUGGAGGGGCAGAAGAUGAGAAGUGGAUUGGUGGGAGAGGGAGAAUGUUACCAUAGCAACAGAGGAAAGGGAGAAUGUUACCAAGGUGACUGAGCACAUGCGUCCUUCAGAGGGAUAAAGAGAUAAAGCUGCAAUAUAGACAACAGGGAGAGAUGGGGAGCAAGCAACUGUUACUGUAGCAACAGAAGGAAGAGGGAAGAAAAAGAUGGGGAGACUGUUACUAGGGAGACAGUAGGAGGAGGCUGUUACCAAGGUAACAGAGGGGGUUCUGUGACUUCUACUGUGGCAACAGCUAUGGAAGAGGGAAAGAAAAUGGCUCUUAUCUUAGCAACACACAUCUUUUGCCAUAGCAACAGUGAAAGCAAGAGGCAGCAAAGAGAAAUCUCAUUGGGGGAGAGGAAAUUAUAGUCGGCUCACCAAACUGUCACAAACUUUACCAACUCAUGCGCAAAUCCCCAUGCCCCACUUGUCAGCAUGGGAUACAGCCAAAAGACAGCACGCUCCUCCUACGAGGGCACAGCCUUGGGAGCAGGACAUGACGGCCCUUCCUGAUGGGAGAAGAGGUAUAGGUGAAAGUCCUACUGCCCCAGGAGGUACAGCCACCCUUAGCUUUGUUCAGUGUUUCUCUCAAGCAGCGGCGGAUGCGGUCACUCCCUGGAAACAGGCAGGCAACAGCUCGAUGGAAAAAGCCAACCCAGUGUGUCUUUUCUAACUUAUUUAUUUAUGAAGUGUGAGGUAAUGAAGAAAAGUGCUAAAUCCGACCACAGUGUUAACUCUAACGUUUCUCAGAAGGUCAGGUAGGAGCCAGACAACUCAGGGGCUGCUCUGUGUGUCUGCUGCAGAGUGGAGGUCCCAGCCACACCCCCUUCCACGAAAGAUGAAGGCUCCUGGUCCUGCUCCCCCAC